Molecule: transfer RNA, 65 nt
Filed under: Mycterothrips gongshanensis
Lineage: Eukaryota; Metazoa; Arthropoda; Insecta; Thysanoptera; Thripidae
Description: tRNA-Arg
Source: RNAcentral
AAUAAGAAAGCAGUGCUUCUGUUCUUAGUUUCGACCUAAGAUUUAGUAAUCUUUUACUCUUAUUU